GACGAACGCUGGCGGCGUGCUUAACACAUGCAAGUCGAACGGAAAGGCCCUGCUUUUGUGGGGUGCUCGAGUGGCGAACGGGUGAGUAACACGUGAGUAACCUGCCCUUGACUUUGGGAUAACUUCAGGAAACUGGGGCUAAUACCGGAUAGGAGCUCCUGCUGCAUGGUGGGGGUUGGAAAGUUUCGGCGGUUGGGGAUGGACUCGCGGCUUAUCAGCUUGUUGGUGGGGUAGUGGCUUACCAAGGCUUUGACGGGUAGCCGGCCUGAGAGGGUGACCGGAGAAGGCAGAGCAGGGGACCGGAGGGCGGUGGGAGGGGAGGCGGGAGUGGGAAGUAGAGUACAGUGGGCGGGAGCCGCAGGCGGGGACGCGGGGGGGGGGAGGGCGUGCGUGGUGUCGUACGCCGCGGUGGCGGGUGACGAGGGGGGGGGGACGGAAAGGAGAAGAGAAGAACGGACGAACUAGGGCCCAGAGGCCGCGGUGAUAUGGGGAAGAGCCGACGGCGGAGC
This 509-nucleotide ribosomal RNA is filed under the name uncultured bacterium. RNAcentral's name for it is "partial 16S ribosomal RNA". The stretch from base 15 to 371 matches the Rfam family "Bacterial small subunit ribosomal RNA", at positions 42 to 397 of the family's 1533-position model. The record is from RNAcentral.